AAAGCGUUAACUUAAAUUAAAGUGUUAGAUUUUUAAUCUAAAAAUGAAUUAUUCACGCUUUA
Molecule: transfer RNA, 62 nt
Filed under: Teladorsagia circumcincta
Lineage: Eukaryota; Metazoa; Nematoda; Chromadorea; Rhabditida; Trichostrongylidae
Rfam family: tRNA
About the family: Transfer RNA (tRNA) molecules are approximately 80 nucleotides in length. Their secondary structure includes four short double-helical elements and three loops (D, anti-codon, and T loops). Further hydrogen bonds mediate the characteristic L-shaped molecular structure. tRNAs have two regions of fundamental functional importance: the anti-codon, which is responsible for specific mRNA codon recognition, and the 3' end, to which the tRNAs corresponding amino acid is attached (by aminoacyl-tRNA synthetases). tRNAs cope with the degeneracy of the genetic code in two manners: having more than one tRNA (with a specific anti-codon) for a particular amino acid; and 'wobble' base-pairing, i.e. permitting non-standard base-pairing at the 3rd anti-codon position.
Source: Rfam by way of RNAcentral